This 271-nucleotide long non-coding RNA is filed under the name Trifolium pratense (red clover). RNAcentral's name for it is "long non-coding RNA (TPRA_LNC014129)". Lineage: Eukaryota; Viridiplantae; Streptophyta; Magnoliopsida; Fabales; Fabaceae. The record is from RNAcentral.
AAAAAAAUUGGAUUAUAGUAAUAAAAGGGGAUUAUUCAGUUUAAUGGUAAAAUGAAAGGAAGAUGAGAAGAAUGAAAACUGAUACCUGGUUAGAGAAAGAGAAAAAAAGGGGGUGAAGUGUAAAUCGGAAAGGAGAGGUUCAGUUGAUCGCCGGCAACAACAUAGGGGGAAAUCAACGGUUCCGAUAAAGCACGGGAGAAGGGUGGAGUAUACUUGGAGCAGAGAAGAAGAAGAAGAAUAUAAAAGAGAGAAAACUAAGCGCAAAACUUGG